This is a long non-coding RNA of Hirundo rustica (Barn swallow), 2698 nucleotides long. RefSeq lists it as uncharacterized. NCBI's taxonomy places the organism in Eukaryota, Metazoa, Chordata, Aves, Passeriformes, Hirundinidae. The transcript has 4 exons. The record is from RefSeq and is a predicted model, not a curated record.
CUGGGGGAGCAGCUGGAGCAAGGACAGGUCUUCAGGAGAGGUAUCCAGACUCACAGCACCCUGGGACUGGGCAGCAGCGUGAUGCUCAAGAUUGCGCUCUGCAGAGCAAGAAGCGACCGCAAAGACAAGAAGAAAAGGCUCCACUGUGAUUUUAAAACUGAGCUUGCACUUCUGGCACAGAGCAGCAGUGGCUGAGCAGCAUCCUGGAGUACAGGAAGCCAAACAAUAACACCAUCCCAGAUUACAGGAGUGGAGAGAAUCGAGGGGAUGUAGAUGGAGAAGUCAAAUUUUUCUGCUCUGAUCCUUGGCACAGCUCUUCCUCUCUCGGUGUUUAAUCCACAUCAUCCCUCCUACACCAGAGGUUCCAGGACCCCCACAAGCCUGUGUCUCAACUCAGGCAUCAUAACAGCCUGAACCAGUGGCUUGAGCACAUCUGUGCCCUCUGAGGGGCUUGGUUCCUCGAACCCAUCACCAUCCUCAAGGCCUGGAGCAGUGGGACAUGCAGUGCAGUGCUUGUUCUGCCUUUUGCCCACGGAGCUGCCUUGCAACCACGCUGCAGGUCACCUGUCCUCGUUGCUGCCCACCUCCCCUGCCUGCCAGGGCCUGCAGGGUUUGGGAUGAAGUACCUUUGCUGUUUACAUCUGGUCCUCAGGGACCAUUUCCCUGCCAGGACAUCAUGGUUCAGAGCCAAAUAAUCCACUCCCACUGAGGGACUCGGCUCUGUAGGACUCAAGGGAGAUCUCAGGAGGAAAAAUCUUAAUGCAAUACAGCAAAAGCUAGAGAAGUCCUGGGGGUUUUGGGGUAAGUGCUUGCUGAUGUGUGUGAGGAGGGAGAUCACCCUGUAGACUUCUCAGUAAAUCUGUGCCCAAGCUGUCAGUGUGAGGAAUAACAGCAGCCCACAAUUUAUGCUUAAACUUAAAGUGUGUCUCUAGAGGUGAUGUGUAAAUGAGAUUAAGGACAUGAGAUCUAAAACUGAGAGGGAGGGCAGUGGUAAACACAUCUUCCUUCCUAAAUUAGCCCUGCCCUGAUCGCUAAAUCAUUAAGGUUGGAAAAGACCUCUAAAACUGUGGAGUGGAGGCAUUGACCCAGCAGUGCCAAGCCCAUCAGUAACCCCGGUCCCCAGGCACCACACCCACACCCUUUUGGAACAUUUCCAGGGACAGCAAUUCCACCACAUCUCUGGGCAGCCUCUUCCAAUGCUGACCACCCUUGCAGUGUAGAAGUUUUUCCUGAUAACCUCACAUAAAUGAUGACAAGGGAUGGAAACUUUGCUGCCUGCCCCAUCCUGCGGCUGCAGCAUCAGCCAGCUCUGCCCUGUGGAAGCAGAGGAUGGGGGAAGGUGUGGGUGCCCCAGCAGUGACAGGACAGGCGGGAUCCGGCCCCACCUGACGCCACCUGGAUGCUGCAGGAGUGGCAGCAAAGGAGUUAAAUUUGGUUUCCUCGUGGGGAAGAGGCUUGUGAGGGAAGCAGGUUAAAAAAAAAAAAAAAAAAAAAAAAAUUUGCUUGGCUUCAUCUUUCUCUCAUUUUAGAAAAAUUAAUUUUUGAGAAACCUCCACAGUUUCACUAUUUCUGGUGCUUAAAUCAGGCCGCCUGACAGCCUGUCCGGGGCUAUUUAUGGGCUCCCUCGCCGUAGCCACGGCCGGAGAGCGCGGCUCCAUCUGCGGACCACGAGUGCCAUCUUCUGGGAGCCUGCAGCCGCACCCCCCUCCUCCUCCCCGGAGCAUCCCCGGGCUGCGCCGUAAAUCCCGACUACGGAGGGAAAAGUUUCUCUACACCGAGCCUCCCCCUGGGGUUCUGCACCGCUGGGUACCAGGGCACAGCCGGCUGCAGGGCUCCUCGCUGUCCUGUGGGGAAACUGAGGCAGACACGGUUGCUGUGUGUGCUCUGAUGCGCGGAAGGCUCUGGGAUGUUCUGUGGUCUCUGACACACCCAAGAGGCUCGGGAUCAGGAGGGGAUGUUGUGCCCCAGGCUCGCUCUCAAUUUGGGGCUCUCCUCUAGCAUCAAGUAACAAACUGAAACCUGCCUUCUCUUUUCUCUUUUAAUAUUCCAUUAAGGAGAGAUAAUUUUCUUUGUGCAUCAAGAUUUAACUCCAGAAUUGUGCACUGUAUGAUAUUCUUGGUGUAUCAUCCGCACCUGGCAAAAUCUCAAUGAAGGGCAACGUUGGAAUGAAACUUUUUGCUUAAAAUGAAGAAUGAAGGAAUUGCUUGAGCUGGAGCACAGGGCAGUGAGGCUGCAGGGAGAAGAUGCUCAAAGCACCCCAGGAAAGGAGACAGAGGCCAUAAUGUGGGAGCAGUGCCCCUCCUGCAGAGGUUUACAAAGGCUUUUGUUUCUUUUCCGGUAAAACUCACCAGAGUGUUUUGCUCAGGUCUGAUUUAUGGCGAUGGAAGUGACCAGGCAUACAAUCCAGCAGUGGUGGUGGCACAGAGGGGGCUGCCAGACUGGCCCAGAGCAAACAUGCCCAGGAGAAGCCCAGGAACCAGCCUGAUCAGUGAGUGUGGGCCUGCUUGAGGCUCGUACAGUGAUUCCCGUGGUUAAAGGUGGGGAAGCGCUCCCCUGGUGCCUGGCACUAGUGUGUGGGUGAUAGGAUGUCAAAAAAACCCUGCUGCUGGUUAUUGCAGCGCCUACAGCAGCUCUGUGUGUGCAGUGCAUCAGCAGAGGAACGUGUGUGAGGUGCAGUGUGGGAUGUGCAGCAGCGACA